This 1107-nucleotide long non-coding RNA is filed under the name Salmo salar (Atlantic salmon). Its description in RNAcentral is "lncRNA (ENSSSAG00000107641.1)". The stretch from base 1 to 73 matches the Rfam family "mir-204 microRNA precursor family", at positions 16 to 89 of the family's 89-position model. Lineage: Eukaryota; Metazoa; Chordata; Actinopteri; Salmoniformes; Salmonidae. The record is from RNAcentral.
UUCCCUUUGUCAUCCUAUGCCUGGAGAUCAUGAUAAGGCAGGGACAGCAAAGGGAUGCUCAGCUGUCACCUCUGACUUCAACUACGCUGACAUUAAUACUGUGUCUGAGGCCUAUGAAGACCACAUGCUAGCUACAGGCAGCACUGCUGUGUAUGAGGACCACAUACUAGCUACCGGCAGCACUGCUGUGUAUGAGGACCACAUGCUAUCUACAGGCAGCACUGCUGUGUAUGAGGACCACAUGCUAGCUACAGGCAGCGCUACUGUGUAUGAGGACCACAUACUAGCUACAGGCAGCACUGCUGUGUAUGAGGACCACAUGUUAGCUACAGGCAGCACUGCUGUGUAUGAGGACCACAUGCUAGCUACAGGCAGAACUGCUGUGUAUGAGGACCACAUGCUAGCUACAGGCAGCACUGCUGUGUAUGAGGACCACAUACUAGCUACAGGCAGCACUGCUGUGUAUGAGGACCACAUGCUAGCUACAGGAAGCACUGCUGUGUAUGAGGACCACAUGCUAGCUACAGGCAGCGCUGCUGUGUAUGAGGACCACAUGCUAGCUACAGGCAGCACUGCUGUGUAUGAAGACCACAUGUUAGCUACAGGCAGCGCUGCUGUGUAUGAGGACCACAUGCUAGCUACAGGCAGCACUGCUGUGUAUGAGGACCACAUGCUAGCUACAGGCAGCACUGCUGUGUAUGAGGACCACAUGCUAGCUACAGGAAGCACUGCUGUGUAUGAGGACCACAUGCCAGCUACAGGCAGCACUUAGGAAAAAAAACUAAAAAACUAAGUCUGUGGAAAUGGGAGCUUUUCUUUGCUGCUAUUUGUCUUUAUCGUCAUUAUAACAUGUUGUUGUGUAUGUCUCUGCCAGGUUAGGGGUCAGGGGUCAUGUUGUUGUGUAUGUCUCUGCCAGGUCAGGGGUCAGGGGUCAUGUUGUUGUGUAUGUCUCUGCCAGGUUAGGGGUCAUGUUGUUGUGUAUGUCUCUGCCAGGUCAGGGGUCAGGGGGUCAUGUUGUUGUGUAUGUCUCUGCCAGGUUAGGGGUCAGGGGUCAUGUUGUUGUGUAUGUCUCUGCCAGGUCAGGGGUCAUGUUGUUGUGUAUGUCUC